UCCGAACACAGAAGUUAAGCUCUUUAGCGCCGAUGGUACUUGGUGGGAAGCUGCCUGGGAGAGUAGGACGUAGCCACGU
This 79-nucleotide ribosomal RNA is filed under the name Paraclostridium sordellii. The record is from RNAcentral. Lineage: Bacteria; Bacillati; Bacillota; Clostridia; Peptostreptococcales; Peptostreptococcaceae.